This 526-nucleotide ribosomal RNA is filed under the name uncultured bacterium. RNAcentral's name for it is "bacterial SSU rRNA". It matches the Rfam family "Bacterial small subunit ribosomal RNA", at positions 777 to 1301 of the family's 1533-position model. The record is from RNAcentral.
AAUAGAUACCCAGGUAGUCCACGCCGUAAACGAUGAGUGCUAAGUGUUAGAGGGUUUCCGCCCUUUAGUGCUGCAGCUAACGCAUUAAGCACUCCGCCUGGGGAAUACGGCCGCAAGGCUGAAACUCAAAGGAAUUGACGGGGGCCCGCACAAGCGGUGGAGCAUGUGGUUUAAUUCGAAGCAACGCGAAGAACCUUACCAGGUCUUGACAUCCUCUGCCAACCCUAGAGAUAGGGCGUUCCCCUUCGGGGGACAGAGUGACAGGUGGUGCAUGGUUGUCGUCAGCUCGUGUCGUGAGAUGUUGGGUUAAGUCCCGCAACGAGCGCAACCCUUGAUCUUAGUUGCCAGCAUUCAGUUGGGCACUCUAAGGUGACUGCCGGUGACAAACCGGAGGAAGGUGGGGAUGACGUCAAAUCAUCAUGCCCCUUAUGACCUGGGCUACACACGUGCUACAAUGGAUGGUACAAAGAGCUGCGAACCCGCGAGGGUAAGCGAAUCUCAUAAAGCCAUUCUCAGUUCGGAUUGU